RNAcentral lists this ribosomal RNA (1200 nucleotides) under metagenome. Its description in RNAcentral is "bacterial SSU rRNA". It matches the Rfam family "Bacterial small subunit ribosomal RNA", at positions 246 to 1446 of the family's 1533-position model. The record is from RNAcentral.
UAGUUGGUGAGGUAACGGCCCACCAAGGCAACGAUCAGUAGCCGGCCUGAGAGGGCGAACGGCCACACUGGAACUGAGACACGGUCCAGACUCCUACGGGAGGCAGCAGUGGGGAAUUUUGCGCAAUGGGCGAAAGCCUGACGCAGCAACGCCGCGUGGAGGAUGAAGGCCUUCGGGUCGUAAACUCCUGUCGAUGGGGACGAAAGCCUAGCAAUAGGCGUGACUGUACCCGUUGAGGAAGCCACGGCUAACUCCGUGCCAGCAGCCGCGGUAAUACGGAGGUGGCAAGCGUUGUUCGGAAUUACUGGGCGUAAAGGGCGCGUAGGCGGCCGGACAAGUCAGAUGUGAAAGCCCCGGGCUCAACUCGGGAAUUGCAUCUGAAACUGUUUGGCUUGAGUUCUGGAGGGGGUAGUGGAAUUCCCAGUGUAGCGGUGAAAUGCGUAGAUAUUGGGAGGAACACCUGCGGCGAAGGCGGCUACCUGGACAGGAACUGACGCUGAGGCGCGAAAGCUAGGGGAGCGAACGGGAUUAGAUACCCCGGUAGUCCUAGCCGUAAACGAUGGGCACUUGGUGUUGGGGGUAUUGAGUCCCUCGGUGCUGGAGUUAACACGUUAAGUGCCCCGCCUGGGGAGUACGGUCGCAAGACUGAAACUCAAAGGAAUUGACGGGGGCCCGCACAAGCGGUGGAGCAUGUGGUUCAAUUCGACGCAACGCGAAGAACCUUACCGGGGCUUGAACUGUAACUGCUACUCGAUGAAAGUCGGUAUUCUCUUCGGAGACGGUUAUAGAGGUGCUGCAUGGCUGUCGUCAGCUCGUGUCGUGAGAUGUUGGGUUAAGUCCCGCAACGAGCGCAACCCUUGCCCUUAGUUGCCAUCAGGUCAAGCUGGGCACCCUAAGGGAACUGUCGGCGAAAAGCCGGAGGAAGGUGGGGAUGACGUCAAGUCCUCAUGGCCCUUACGUCCCGGGCUACACACGUGCUACAAUGGCUGGUACAAAGGGUUGCCAACCCGCGAGGGGGAGCUAAUCCCAAAAAACCAGUCCCAGUUCGGAUUGCAGUCUGCAACUCGACUGCAUGAAGGCGGAAUCGCUAGUAAUCGCAGAUCAGCACGCUGCGGUGAAUACGUUCCCGGGCCUUGUACACACCGCCCGUCACAUCACGAAAGUGGGUUGUACUAGAAAUCGCCGGGCUAACCCGCGAGG